GGUAUGUAGCGAGGUUAAGUACUUAAGGUACGGAGCCGAAGGGAAACCGAGUCUGAAUAGGGCGACUAGUUGCAUGCUGUAGACCCGAAACCGGGUGACCUAUCCAUGGCCAGGUUGAAGCGAGAGUAAAAUCUCGUGGAGGACCGAACCACGUUGGUGUUGAAAAACCAUGGGAUGAGCUGUGGAUAGCGGAGAAAUUCCAAUCGAACUCGGAGAUAGCUGGUUCUCCUCGAAAUAGCUUUAGGGCUAGCGUCGGAUAUGAGUAAUGGAGGUAGAGCACUGAAUGGGCUAGGGGGCAUAGCGCUUACCGAACCUUAUCAAACUCCGAAUGCCAUAUACUAUUAAGUCCGGCAGUCAGACUGCGAAUGAUAAGAUCCGUGGUCAAAAGGGAAACAGCCCAGAUCGUCAGCUAAGGUCCCAAAGUGUAAGUUAAGUGGAAAAGGAUGUGGGAUUUCUAAGACAACUAGGAUGUUGGCUUAGAAGCAGCCACUCAUUUAAAGAGUGCGUAAUAGCUCACUAGUCGAGAGAUCCUGCGCCGAAAAUGUUCGGGGCUCAAACUUACCACCGAAGCUACGGGCUUAAGUUAAACUUAAGCGGUAGAGGAGCGUCGUAAUCGGGCUGAAGUCGUACCGGAAGGAGCGGUGGACUGAUUACGAGUGAGAAUGUUGGCAUUAGUAGCGAGAUGUGAGUGAGAAUCUCACAGGCCGAAAACCUAAGGUUUCCUCAGGAAGGCUCGUCCGCUGAGGGUUAGUCGGGACCUAAGCCGAGGCCGAAAGGCGUAGGUGAUGGACAAUCGGUUGAUAUUCCGAUACCACUAUUAAUCGUUAAAACCGAAGGCGUAACGCAGGAGGAUAGGAUGUGCUAGCUAUUGGAUGCUAGUCUAAGCACUUAGGGAGUUCAGCAAGGCAAAUCCGGCUGAACAAUUCUGAGGUGUGAUGGGGAAGGAACUACGGUUCCGAAGUAUCUGAUUCCACGCUGCCAAGAAAAGCGUCUAGGGAGAGAGGUAGUGCCCGUACCGCAAACCGACACAGGUAGGUGAGGAGAGAAUCCUAAGGCCGGCGGAAGAAUCACAGUUAAGGAACUCGGCAAAUUGACCCCGUAACUUAGGGAGAAGGGGUGCCUACGCAAGUAGGCCGCAGAGAAUAGGCCCAAGCAACUGUUUAGCAAAAACACAGGUCUCUGCUAAAGCGAAAGCUGAUGUAUAGGGGCUGACGCCUGCCCGGUGCUGGAAGGUUAAGGGGAAUACUUAGCGCAAGCGAAGGUAUGAACUUAAGCCCCAGUAAACGGCGGCCGUAACUAUAACGGUCCUAAGGUAGCGAAAUUCCUUGUCAGGUAAGUUCUGACCCGCACGAAUGGCGUAAUGACUUGGGCACUGUCUCAACUGUGAAUCCGGCGAAGUUGUAGUACGAGUGAAGAUGCUCGUUACCCGCGAUUGGACGGAAAGACCCCGUAGAGCUUUACUGUAGCUUAGCAUUGAAUUUCGGUAUUGUCUGUACAGGAUAGGUGGGAGACUAGGAAGUCAGGGCGUCAGCCUUGAUGGAGUCAUCCUUGGGAUACCACCCUGACAGUACUGAGGUUCUAACUGGAUGCCAUGAAACUGGUGACAGGACAUUGUUAGGUGGGCAGUUUGACUGGGGCGGUCGCCUCCUAAAAAGUAACGGAGGCGCCCAAAGGUUCCCUCAGAACGGUCGGAAAUCGUUCGAAGAGUGCAAAGGCAGAAGGGAGCCUGACUGCGACACCCACAAGUGGAGCAGGGACGAAAGUCGGGCUUAGUGAUCCGGUGGUACCUCGUGGGAGGGCCAUCGCUCAACGGAUAAAAGCUACCUCGGGGAUAACAGGCUGAUCUCCCCCAAGAGUCCACAUCGACGGGGAGGUUUGGCACCUCGAUGUCGGCUCGUCGCAUCCUGGGGCUGAAGUAGGUCCCAAGGGUUGGGCUGUUCGCCCAUUAAAGCGGCACGCGAGCUGGGUUCAGAACGUCGUGAGACAGUUCGGUCCCUAUCCGUCGCGGGCGUAGGAAAUUUGAGAGGAGCUGUCCUUAGUACGAGAGGACCGGGAUGGACUGACCUCUGGUGUACCAGUUGUUCCGCCAGGAGCACAGCUGGGUAGCUAUGUCGGGAAGAGAUAAACGCUGAAAGCAUCUAAGCGUGAAGCUCACCUCAAGAUUAGAUUUCCCAUAGCGUAAGCUAGUAAGAUCCCUUGAAGAACACAAGGUUGAUAGGUCAGAGAUGUAAGCAUGGUAACAUGUUCAGUUGACUGAUAC
Molecule: non-coding RNA, 2260 nt
Filed under: Clostridium fallax
Lineage: Bacteria; Bacillati; Bacillota; Clostridia; Eubacteriales; Clostridiaceae
Description: Bacterial large subunit ribosomal RNA
Rfam family: Bacterial large subunit ribosomal RNA
Source: Rfam by way of RNAcentral